AUUGAACGCUGGCGGCAGGCCUAACACAUGCAAGUCGAGCGGAUGAAGGGAGCUUGCUCCUGGAUUCAGCGGCGGACGGGUGAGUAAUGCCUAGGAAUCUGCCUGGUAGUGGGGGAUAACGUCCGGAAACGGGCGCUAAUACCGCAUACGUCCUGAGGGAGAAAGUGGGGGAUCUUCGGACCUCACGCUAUCAGAUGAGCCUAGGUCGGAUUAGCUAGUUGGUGGGGUAAAGGCCUACCAAGGCGACGAUCCGUAACUGGUCUGAGAGGAUGAUCAGUCACACUGGAACUGAGACACGGUCCAGACUCCUACGGGAGGCAGCAGUGGGGAAUAUUGGACAAUGGGCGAAAGCCUGAUCCAGCCAUGCCGCGUGUGUGAAGAAGGUCUUCGGAUUGUAAAGCACUUUAAGUUGGGAGGAAGGGCAAUAAGUUAAUACCUUGCUGUUUUGACGUUACCAACAGAAUAAGCACCGGCUAACUUCGU
This 483-nucleotide ribosomal RNA is filed under the name uncultured bacterium. RNAcentral describes it as "partial 16S ribosomal RNA". It matches the Rfam family "Bacterial small subunit ribosomal RNA", at positions 30 to 506 of the family's 1533-position model. The record is from RNAcentral.